AGGUGCUGCACGGCUGUCGUCAGCUCGUGUCGUGAGAUGUUGGGUUAAGUCCCGCAACGAGCGCAACCCUCGUCACUAGUUACUAACGGUUCGGCCGAGGACUCUAGUGAGACUGCCUUCGUAAGGAGGAGGAAGGUGAGGACGACGUCAAGUCACCAUGGCCCUUACGGCCAGGGCUACACACGUGCUACAAUGGGGUAUACAAAGAGCCGCAAUACCGCGAGGUGGAGCAAAUCUCAUAAAAUAUCUCCCAGUUCGGAUAGCAGUCUGCAACUCGACUGCUUGAAGUUGGAAUCGCUAGUAAUCGUGAAUCAGCAACGUCACGGUGAAUACGUUCCCGGGUCUUGUACUCACCGCCCGUCACACCAUGGGAAUUGAAUUCAUUCGAAGCGGGGAUGCUAAAGUAGCUACCUUCCACAGUGGAUUUAGUAACUAGGGUGAAGUCGUAACAAGGUA
Molecule: ribosomal RNA, 456 nt
Filed under: uncultured bacterium
Lineage: Bacteria
Description: bacterial SSU rRNA
Rfam family: Bacterial small subunit ribosomal RNA
Source: RNAcentral